AACGAACGCUGGCGGCAGGCUUAACACAUGCAAGUCGAACGGGUGUAGCAAUACAUCAGUGGCAGACGGGUGAGUAACACGUGGGAACCUUCCUCGUUGUACGGAACAACUCAGGGAAACUUGAGCUAAUACCGUAUACGUCCGAGAGGAGAAAGAUUUAUCGCAAUGAGACGGGCCCGCGUCGGAUUAGCUAGUUGGUAGGGUAACGGCCUACCAAGGCGACGAUCCGUAGCUGAUCUGAGAGGAUGAUCAGCCACACUGGGACUGAGACACGGCCCAGACUCCUACGGGAGGCAGCAGUGGGGAAUCUUGGACAAUGGGCGCAAGCCUGAUCCAGCCAUGCCGCGUGAGUGAAGAAGGCCUUAGGGUUGUAAAGCUCUUUUGCCAGGGACGAUAAUGACGGUACCUGGAGAAUAAGCCCGGCGAAACUUUGUGCCAGCAGCCGCGGUAAUACGAAGGGGGUGCUAGCGUUGUUCCGGGAUUUUACUGGGCGUAAAGCGCACGUAGGCGGAUUGUUAAGUCAGGGGUGAAAUCCCGGAGCUCAACUCCGGAACUGCCUUUGAUACUGGCAAUCUUGAGGCUGGAAGAGGUUAGUGGGAUUCCCCAGUGUAG
RNAcentral lists this ribosomal RNA (612 nucleotides) under uncultured bacterium. Its description in RNAcentral is "bacterial SSU rRNA". It matches the Rfam family "Bacterial small subunit ribosomal RNA", at positions 28 to 678 of the family's 1533-position model. The record is from RNAcentral.